GAGCAAUGAACCCACGUGGAAGCUCGUCGUCCAUCCUCACGUCUGCACCGACCAACCUCAAGCAGCUCUCAAAGAGGAGGAGCAAGGACCACAACCACUUCCAUCCUCCAGAGGUCACAGGCAAUACAAUAAAUACUACUAGUACACACAGCACCGCAGCGUCGCCCAUGUGAUGCGAGCGGUCAAACUUGGGGAACUUGGCCGAGGGAACACACCCUCUCACCCACCUCAAGAUCUUGGUAUCCGAUCCAGCCAACCUAAUAGAAAGCAUGGCUCCUCGCCCUCGUCUGUUCGUCUCUCACCCACGUCUGAGUUGGCCUGCAGCAACAUCCUAAUCCAACAAGCUCUCCCAUGGUGGAUCGUGUGACCAGCACAGUCUUAAGUUAUUGUGGUGUCAGAGCAGGAGUGCUCAAUCUCUGGAUUCACGUUCUGAUGCUAACAAUGGCUUUAUAGAUCGGCAAAGGGGCCAAACAACAUACACUUGGUGUGCAAGAAUGCUCGCGUGACAUCACACCUGCGCCAGCCACUGUUUUUGGUCUGCAUAGUUUUGAAGCUUAUGGAUCUGUACGAAUUCAGCAAGGCUUAUCAAUCGUGGAUAACAGUUGUAGUAUUAUGCCAACCUGAUACCAUUUUGUGGCUUCUUCUUGAUGCUAACAUCUGUUCUUCCUUCCUGCACACUCUCGCCUGAAGUCAAAAGGUUCUUGCACCCUGGGCCAAAGUUGGGUUAGCGAUCGUCUUGAAUCUUGACAUAAAGCAGCAAAAAGGGGGCCAGUGACGUGACCAUCCUCUUCCUCUAUCCAUUUGUUUGGAGAUCAUUGUACUCGCAGUGUUGAGCUCGCAAUGGCAACUGGAGACUGAGAAAGCUGUGUGUGUGCUGGGCUUGGGUCUGACAUCCCCCACAUGCGUCAUGUCUCUCGCGGAGCUCGGAGUGGGAAUUGUUGGAGACUUUUGAUGCAGGGUUUGGGGUCCCUCCUUCCCUCUAAUUCUUCCUCCCCCUGUGUUAGGCUCAACCAAAGCUCAUAUAGAUCAUGGUGGCGGUCACUCUCACAUUGUUGACAAGCAAUCAGAACCCACAUUAUCCUAACCUUAUUUGACCAACACUGUCCUAAAUCUUCUGGAUAACUUAGUAGAAAGCACCUGCAGCAGCAACAACACAGAGCGAAGAUUUCAGGCGAGCUCUGGUCCAUCCUUCAUUAACUUAGGAGUCCGCUGGGGCAGAACCGAAGGCUAGAAGACAUGGAUUUCCUCAUAAUGGUUGUCACCAUUUCCAUGGGUUUGGAGAAGCACAGAAAAACAUGUGUCCCUCACCCCUGCAAAUCAUCCGGAUGUGAGCUCGCAGUCCAACAUCGUGACCCACCGCCGCCGCAUGGGGACAACUCAACUCGCUCCGUCU
Molecule: long non-coding RNA, 1393 nt
Filed under: Musa acuminata (dwarf banana)
Lineage: Eukaryota; Viridiplantae; Streptophyta; Magnoliopsida; Zingiberales; Musaceae
Description: long non-coding RNA (MACU_LNC006268)
Source: RNAcentral